RNAcentral lists this long non-coding RNA (4025 nucleotides) under Schizosaccharomyces pombe (fission yeast). The record is from RNAcentral. Lineage: Eukaryota; Fungi; Ascomycota; Schizosaccharomycetes; Schizosaccharomycetales; Schizosaccharomycetaceae.
GUCCUAAUAAUACAACUGCUAAGAAAACUAGUAAUUGAGGAUAGAAAGGAUAAAAGAAAAAGCCUCAAGCCAAUUCGAGGGAUGUGGAGAAAGUAAAAAGGAAUUAGCAAGAGUUUGGAUAAUAAUAAGUUGCGUUUUCUUUGGUAAAGCCACUUAGAAAAGGUGAAAUUUGCAUGAGAUAAUCAUGUUUGUGAGACCGGAACAACAUCAUUGUUAUUCUAUCCUUAAAAUAAAAUAGCUGGAAAAAAUUGGCCGGACGAGGGAACAACCCAACAAUCACCAUCCAGGCGCGUUGCGUUUGGCACCUCCUUCCUAUGAAAAAGUAUACACAUUCCACAACACCAUGUGCGCAGUAUGCAACGUACCUAGCCGUCACCCAACUAUAGCGUAAGAGACGCUUGCUACUCUGAAGGGCUGAGAUCUACGAAAACCGCCAUGGCCGUAGAGGCAGAGGCGCUGAAUGAAUUUUCAUUAAUUUAGAUCACUAAUCAUUUACCAUUCAAAUGCCGCUCCAUUCAACUCAACCAUAUUCACUUAAGGAGUUUUCGUAAGAAAUGGCUUAUCAUUGUCAUCAUACCAUUCAAACAUCAAUACACACCACACAUACACACACACACAAAUGUACACAAGCAUGCACACUCAUACACAUAUAUAAACGCAUGUUUACAUAAAUAGUUAUAAAAUUUACAUAUAGUUUUACGCAUAAAUAAUGCAACUGUCAUUCUCACCAUCUCUAUCCAACUCUACCUACCAUGUACUAUAUACUGUAUUAUACAAUGAAUGCUAUAUGCCCGCUUAUACUGUAGCUGCCUUGUCGCCCGCCCCAUUUGUCCAUGGUAUAGUAUUCCGCACAAUUCUUUACCAGAAUAGAAAUGAAAUAUAGAAAACAUGCCUUUUCAGAAGCGUUUCUCACACUUUCAACAAAUGUCGUCCAGCCCAUCUGCCAAAUUCUCUUACCAAACUAGUCUUGAUUAUGGCCAUCCGUCCUCGGUAAUCGAAUAUUUCGUCCAAACAGCGACGCUUGGCCAUCAAAAAAUUUAGUGGAUGACAAUAAUCUAUGUAACAAAUAAUACGAUAAAAUUGCCAUGAUGAGUAACAAAACAACAAAGGCAAUAAUUCAUCAACUAUUGAAUAAUCAUUUAAUGGUCGCGAAAAGGAAACAAAUAUAAUUUUCUACAAUCAAUCAUCUACAAUGACUGAUGUUAGAGCUUGAAAACGGGAUGUGAAAAAUUCAAUCAACAUGACUUCAAAUGGGGUGAGAAAUUGUAAUUAAGCAAAGGAAAAAAAUAGGCAACAAGGCAUGGUUGUAGCUGCAAUUAAGGGACUAAUGUGUCGUGAAACUCAAAAAUGUAAAAAAAAGAAUGACAAUCCCCUUGCAUAAUUGAAUUACCCGUUGAAAUUUUUGGGAAAUCCGGUUACUGCAGACGGAAGUUGAAAGUCAACUUUAUCUCGGUUCUUUUUUUCCUUUUUUUUUUUUUUUGCAACUUCCUUACCGGCACGCAAGGUCCGUCGCACUUCUGGACCAGGAGUAAACUGCUUACUUAUUGAAAGAACAAAGAAAAUUUUAACCUUUCUUUAAAUACGCUUUCUUUUCUUUUUCUUUUUUCAGGCUAUUUUUUUGCUCCUCCCGUCAUCCCUAAUAGCUAGUCGGCUUUAACGAUUAUUAUUUUAGGAGAUGCUAAAGUGCAGAUUGACGGUCUUGUUCGUAAUUUGCAAUCAGUCUAUGUCAUGAUCCCUGACCUCAGUACAGUGGAAGCUGUCUGGCUGGCAAGGGUAAAGGCUAGUAAGUACUAUCAAUUAUGUAUGUCAGUUGUGGAUGGGGAAUUAUUAUUGAGACUUUUUACAAAGUGUCAAGCUCGAGAUUUGGCCAUUACAUGUCGGUAAAGCAGCUGAACAGCGAUAUGCCGUUCAUAAAAAAGCGUCAGCACAAGUGAAAUCAAGUGUCAUGACAUGAAAGUCUAAUCGGUUAUUUGCAACAUUAACCGAAACUUGUAGAAAAUGCGCUCUUUGGCAGUUGAAAAACGCAGACAUUACAGAUGCUAUAAAUACAUAGUAUUAAAAACAUAAUAACAAAUAACAAUAACAUGUUAAUUAAUCUUGCUAUACAUAGUAACAUCUAUAAAACGCAGUGUAAACAGAAAUCAUUUUGACAUGAAUUUCUUAUGUAACAAAUGAAUCUUCCAUCUUUAAAGGGAAAUCCGAUCGCUGUGUUCUCAAGUUAUCGACUCCUUUUUCUCAUAGCAAAGGCUGAGCAAGCAAUCAAAGCUUUUGCUCCUAGGAUUAUCUAGGACGAUGCAACUUCAACAUUCGUUGAACGGACCGCAUACCCAUUUCCUAGGUUCAGGAUUUAAGCUUUGUAUUGUGUUGUGUGGUAGUACAAUUAAGCAAAAAGGAACCGAACCGUUGGGGCUGAAUAUUGUUUUUCACUAUCAAACAGGUAAUAAGAUAUAUAUGAAGCAAGCAACUUAUUUGUAAGCCUAGCUAAAUGCUUUAUCAAUAUAAACUCGAGGGAAAUAUUGGUAGCAUAGUAUUCCUUUAACUUUUCUUUUUUUUUAAAUUAAUUUUGAUUUCACUUUUUAGUUAACGAAAAGAAUUAUUUUUUAUUUAAUAAUGGCAAGCGGAGUUGUUUCAAUCCAAUAUAUUACAUUUACCAGUAAAAAAAUUCGAUACUUUCCCUCCACCGUGUUAAAUUGCUGCAUUUUUUUGCAUGUUACGGGAUGUAAGGAAAUAAUCUCAAACCAGUCAUCCUUACUUUGGUUUCCUACAUUUAAUGAGCCAUGCCAUCUAUCCUCUAUUUCAAUACCUUCCUUCCCAUUUUUUUCUGCUAAAUCGAUAUGUUGUUUUUUAAAUACUCUUUGUUAUUAGUACUAUAUAUGCACUAUUGAUUUUGCUAGCAAUGUAUUGUAUUAUUUGUAUGUUUUGUAGAAAAUAACCUACUCGCCAACCCAAAAAUACCAGUUGUUUCCGACAGCGUCAUUUAUUCAUCACACUUUUCCGAAAAUCGGCUUUACAAGUCCCGAGUAAAAGUGAAUCAAGAAACAGCUACCAUGAAUUUGAUCAACGAUUUUGAGUAACCACAGAAAAACUCAGUAUGGCCCAUUACGGUUGGAAUGGGUCGUUGUUAUGAAUGCCAUUUUCUUGUUACCGAGCGGCAAACUCCAACAGUAUAUUGUUUUGUAGCAUCGCUAAUGAAUGAUUCGUUAAGUUUGUUUUCGUGGAAUUUCAUGCUCUUCUUUUAUACCCGAAAGCCGGAUACUCGUCGAUAUACUAGAUGUGUAGUGAGUUAAUUAAUUAGCCAGAAAUUAGUGAAUGGGAGAGAUUUUUAAAAUAUCAAGAUUGAUCAUUACUAAUCAUCUUUCAUCUUUCACAAUACUUGUCAUCGAUGAUUGAUAGAGAUUGCCAAGAGACAUUAGGUAAAAUAAAACGUAACAGUUUUGACGAUCUGCUGAUUUGCUUGAUGUCAACCUUGGGUAUGUUUUCAUUAAACAUGAUUGCUGAUGGGUUUCAUAAUUCGUGAAAAAUUGAUAAAGCACUUUUCCUUAUCAUCUACACAUAAGUGAACAGGCAAAUCAAUCCGUAUUGUCUCCUCAACAUACGGAAUGUCAUUAAAACCGGUAAACUGUACUAACCGGUGAUUACGGGAUAAUAAAAAACCACUUCAUUCAUUUCAAAAACUGUUGAUAUAGUAUUCUGUAUGAUUUCAAGAAGAUAACUCUUCGGUGACUUGCUGUUUAUUGCUCACCUGGCGAUUCUAAUUCCUUUUAUUUUUUAUCCUGAUACGUAUGUAUUUGUUUUUCCCUCUUUAGAAUAAUAUUCAUUAAGCUUGAAUAAGCGGUUAUUAGUUUGCAAAUGAUUCAGCAGCUAUAUGUGAGUUUGCCCUUUUUCACUUGUCUACAGAGUCGGGAAUUGACUUGUAAAACAAAAUAAAUGGAAUAUUGCAAAUGUAUUCUUUUUGCCUUGUGUUUAUUUAGGAGUAGUAUUGCGGAAACUUGUUUUCAGAAAACAAAGUAGCGCUUAUGCUCGGU